AUUUUCCCAAGUGCCUGGUAUCAGCAAAGUGUUAUUUUUUAUGUUUAUGUAAAGUACACGUUUCUGGUACUAAGUACUUCGAGAAAGUUACC
Drosophila melanogaster (fruit fly) is the source of this 92-nucleotide non-coding RNA. Its record names the gene mir-992. The record is from Ensembl. NCBI's taxonomy places the organism in Eukaryota, Metazoa, Arthropoda, Insecta, Diptera, Drosophilidae.